GCUGGGCGUGGUGGCUCACGCCUGUAAUCCCAGCAUUUUGGGAGUCUGAGGCAGGUGGAUCACCUGAGGUCAGGAGUUCGAGACCAGCCUGACCAACAUGGUGAAACCCUGUCUCUA
This is an unclassified non-coding RNA of Macaca fascicularis (crab-eating macaque), 117 nucleotides long. It matches the Rfam family "Metazoan signal recognition particle RNA". Rfam says of the family: The signal recognition particle (SRP) is a universally conserved ribonucleoprotein. It is involved in the co-translational targeting of proteins to membranes. The record is from Ensembl. NCBI's taxonomy places the organism in Eukaryota, Metazoa, Chordata, Mammalia, Primates, Cercopithecidae.